CCUACGGGAGGCAGCAGUGAGGAAUAUUGGUCAAUGGACGAGAGUCUGAACCAGCCAAGUAGCGUGAAGGAUGACUGCCCUAUGGGUUGUAAACUUCUUUUAUAUGGGAAUAAAAUGUUCCACGUGUGGGUUUUUGUAUGUACCAUAUGAAUAAGGAUCGGCUAACUCCGUGCCAGCAGCCGCGGUAAUACGGAGGAUCCGAGUGUUAUCCGGAUUUAUUGGGUUUAAAGGGAGCGUAGGUGGAUUGUUAAGUCAGUUGUGAAAGUUUGCGGCUCAACCGUAAAAUUGCAGUUGAAACUGGCAGUCUUGAGUACAGUAGAGGUAGGCGGAAUUCGUGGUGUAGCGGUGAAAUGCUUAGAUAUCACGAAGAACUCCGAUUGCGAAGGCAGCUCACUGGACUGCAACUGACACUGAGGCUCGAAAGUGUGGGUAUCAAACAGGAUUAGAUACCCCAGUAGUC
RNAcentral lists this ribosomal RNA (460 nucleotides) under uncultured bacterium. Its description in RNAcentral is "partial 16S ribosomal RNA". It matches the Rfam family "Bacterial small subunit ribosomal RNA", at positions 338 to 795 of the family's 1533-position model. The record is from RNAcentral.